RNAcentral lists this unclassified non-coding RNA (440 nucleotides) under uncultured Thelephoraceae. RNAcentral describes it as "sequence contains ITS2". The stretch from base 1 to 155 matches the Rfam family "5.8S ribosomal RNA". Lineage: Eukaryota; Fungi; Basidiomycota; Agaricomycetes; Thelephorales; Thelephoraceae. The record is from RNAcentral.
AACUUUUAACAAUGGAUCACUUGGCUCUCGCAUCGAUGAAGAACACAGGGAAAUGUGAUAAGUAAUGUGAAUUGCAGAAUUCAGUGAAUCAUCGAAUCUUUGAACGCACCUUGCGCCCUUUGGCUAUUCCGAAGGGCAUGCCUGUUUGAGUAUCAUGAACACCUCAACUCUCAUGGCUUGCCAUGAUGAGCUUGGACUCUGGGGGGUCUUGCUGGCUCAUGGUCAGCUCCUCUUAAAUGAAUCAGCCUUCCAGUGUUUGGUGGCAUCACAGGUGUGAUAACUAUCUACGCUUGUGGUGUCCUCCCAGGUAACCUUCAGUGAUGGAGGUCGCUGGAGCUAAUAAAUGCACAUCUCUCAUUGUAGAGAUGGCCUUUUAGAUGUUUGAUCUCAAAUCAGGUAGGACUACCCGCUGAACUUAAGCAUAUCAAUAAGCGGAGGCU